CCACCACCACCACCCUGCUGGAGGUCCCUGACAACACAAGGAGACGCAGGACUGUCUCCACCUCAUCGUCACUGUACCCUCCGGGCCAUAUGUUCCAACUGGAAUGUACUGGACUGGGGAGCUGUCUGAAACCUCCCAGGUUGAACAGGAAGAAGCGCUCCUCUGCCUCCAUGAGCUCUGACAGCACAGAGCUGUCUCUCCCUCCGCCGCCUCAGGAGAAGAGCUUCGAGUCCCUCCACGACAAGAUUCUGAAGAAGGACAAGCACCUGGAGCCAGGGUUAAUAAAGAAUGAGAAGAAGGUGAAACUGGAGGGAGA
This is a long non-coding RNA of Oncorhynchus keta (chum salmon), 316 nucleotides long. RefSeq lists it as uncharacterized. The transcript has 3 exons. NCBI's taxonomy places the organism in Eukaryota, Metazoa, Chordata, Actinopteri, Salmoniformes, Salmonidae. The record is from RefSeq and is a predicted model, not a curated record.